CUCCUGUCUCAGCCUCCCGAGUAGCUGGAACUCCCAAGCUCAGAGUGGAGAAUGAGGUUGCAUCUCAGGAUGGCCACAGCGCCUUCCUUCCCAAGCCCUUUCUUCAGCAGCCGUGGUGGGAGCUGCAGCCGAAAAGCCCCUUUGGAGUUGCAGCUAGAGGGUGCCUUCCAGGAGCUGCUGGGCCAGCUUCACCAAUGCCUGCAGACGGUCAGGACAGAUUCAGAGAAGCUCUGGGUCAGAACGAGGGUGAAAAGCCCCUUCCUCGAGCUUCCGGUCGAACAGCCCCAUGGGGGUGCCCUGACCUUCUUGCUCUAAUGCAGCUGCUGUUCCCCGGGGCAGCGACUCCCCUUCUCUCCCUCCCAAGUGCGGCCCUGCCCUCUUCACAGGCACACACCCCACAGCACGUGCAGUGCCUCAAGGCGCCCGAGGUGCACGGGGAGGCCCAUCAGUGCUGUUCCCCAAGCCUCCAGCUUUCUUGCUGGAAUCUUUCUUUCCCACCCCUUUGCAGCUUGGCAUGAGCUUGUCACUUGAGGUGGCCAGUGAGAUGUUGUGGGCAUGAGAGGUGGUGCCAAGAGAUCAGGCGUGACUCCACCUCCCGUUCCCACCUCGGAGGCCUGGCAGCACACGCUGGGGGCUCCCCAACCUGGGCGGCUGGGCGAGGACGAGGCGCAGACCCCACACCUGCCACAGGCCCACACUGGAGGGAGUCAGCGGCUGAGGGUCGGGCCGUUCGUUACCACCGCACAGCCUGGCUCAUCCUGGCUGACUCGGGGCAGUGCUGCCCGGGCCAGGCGGAGCAGGGAGGACGUGGUGGGGUGUUUGGAAGGCGGAGCAAGAACCUAAUAAAUGUGAGCCCUGGACUCUGAGGCCGGGCAGCGAAUGUUCUGCGGGUGCUGUCUGCGGCCGGAUGUGGGUUUUGGCAUCAUGAGCUCAGGAGAGAACUGGCCGGUGGGUGAGCAGGUGCGAAAGGAAACCGAGAAAACCCGGGGGGUACUUUGUGGGUUAAAAGAGGCAACUGCCUUUCCAUCCUGACCAGCAGAAGGGAAGACUGCAGAGACCCUCGAAUGUCGAUCUCAGCGGUUGCGGCUAGGAUGGAAUCAAGAGCAGGCCACCGCACCCACCGCUGACAAAUCUCCAGCCUGGGUGACAGAGCCAGACCCUGCUGUCAGGCCUCCGAGCCCAAGCCUGGACGUGUACAUCCAGAUGGCCUGAGGCAACUGAAGAACCACAAGAGAAGUGAAAAUGGCCAGUUCCUGCCUUAACUGACGACAUUGCCUCAUGAAAUUCCUUCUCCUGGACAGUGAGUCUCAGAAGUUCCCCCACCCAGCACCCUGUGACCCCUGCCCCUGCCCGCCAGAGAACAAACCUCUUUGACUGCAAUUUUCUGCUACCCACCCAGAUCCUAUAAAAUGGCUCCACCCCAUCUCCCUUUGCUGACCACCUGCACCCAGGUGAUUAAAAAG
This 1463-nucleotide long non-coding RNA is filed under the name Homo sapiens (human). RNAcentral's name for it is "HSALNT0360877". Lineage: Eukaryota; Metazoa; Chordata; Mammalia; Primates; Hominidae. The record is from RNAcentral.